This 407-nucleotide ribosomal RNA is filed under the name uncultured bacterium. RNAcentral describes it as "partial 16S ribosomal RNA". It matches the Rfam family "Bacterial small subunit ribosomal RNA", at positions 28 to 526 of the family's 1533-position model. The record is from RNAcentral.
GACGAACGCUGGCGGCGUGCCUAAUACAUGCAAGUAGGACGCAGUUGCGAACGGGUGAGUAACGACUAGGUAACAGCCUAGUAGAGGGGGAUAACAAGUGGACACGAUACCUAAUACCGCAUACUAGCAGGUGGACUUGCGUUGAAUUAGUUAGUAGGUAGGGUAAAGGCCUAACAAGGCAACGAUACAUAGCCGACCUGAGAUGGUGGUCGGCCACAAUGGGACUGAGACACGGCCCAGAAUCCUACGGGGGGCAGCAGUAGGGAAUCUUCGGCAAUGGGGGGAACCCUGACCGAGCAACGCCGCGUGAGUGAAGAAGGUUUUCGGAUCGUAAAGCUCUGUUGUUAAGGAAGCGGUACUUAACCAGAAAGGGACGGCUAACUACGUGCCAGCAGCCGCGGUAAUUC